UACAUAGGGUGCAAGCGUUGUCCGGAAUUAUUGGGCGUAAAGAGCUCGUAGGUUGUUUGUCGCGUCGAUUGUGAAAAUCUGAGGCUCAACCUCAGACCUGCAGUCGAUACGGGCAAACUAGAGUGUGGUAGGGGAGACUGGAAUUCCUGGUGUAGCGGUGGAAUGCGCAGAUAUCAGGAGGAACACCAAUGGCGAAGGCAGGUCUCUGGGCCAUAACUGACACUGAGGAGCGAAAGUGCGGGGAGCGAACGGGAUUAGAUACCCUGGUAGUCCGCACCGUAAACGGUGGGCACUAGUUGUGGGAACCUUCCACGGUUUCCGCGACGCAGCAAACGCAUUAAGUGCCCCGCCUGGGGAGUACGAUCGCAAGAUUAAAACUCAAAGGAAUUGACGGGGCCCCGCACAAGCAGCGGAGCAUGCGGCUUAAUUCGACGCAACGCGAAGAACCUUGCCAAGGCUUGACAUAUAGCGAAAAGUGGCAGAGAUGUCAUGUCCGCAAGGGCGCUAUACAGGUGGUGCAUGGUUGUCGUCAGCUCGUGUCGUGAGAUGUUGGGUUAAGUCCCGCAACGAGCGCAACCCUCGUUCUGUGUUACCAGCAUUCAGUUGGGGACUCACAGGAGACUGCCGGGGUCAACUCGGAGGAAGGUGGGGAUGACGUCAAAUCAUCAUGCCCCUUAUGUCCAGGGCUGCACGCAUGCUACAAUGGCCGGUACAAAGUGCUGCGAGAUCGUAAGAUUGAGCGAAUCACAUAAAGCCAGUCUCAGUUCGGAUUGAGGUCUGCAACUCGACCUCAUGAAGUCGGAGUUGCUAGUAAUCGUAGAUCAGCAACGCUACGGUGAAUACGUUCCCGGGGCU
This 855-nucleotide ribosomal RNA is filed under the name uncultured bacterium. Its description in RNAcentral is "SSU rRNA". It matches the Rfam family "Bacterial small subunit ribosomal RNA", at positions 524 to 1381 of the family's 1533-position model. The record is from RNAcentral.